This 74-nucleotide transfer RNA is filed under the name Wolfiporia cocos MD-104 SS10. Its description in RNAcentral is "tRNA-Ile (AAT) (tRNA-Ile-AAT-2-1)". It matches the Rfam family "tRNA". From Rfam's summary of the family: Transfer RNA (tRNA) molecules are approximately 80 nucleotides in length. Their secondary structure includes four short double-helical elements and three loops (D, anti-codon, and T loops). Lineage: Eukaryota; Fungi; Basidiomycota; Agaricomycetes; Polyporales; Phaeolaceae. The record is from RNAcentral.
GGCCGACUAGCUCAGUUGGUUAGAGCGCGGUGCUAAUAACGCCGAGGUCGUCGGUUCGAUCCCGGCGUUGGCCA